GCCUUCUUGGCUCAGUUGGCAGAGCGUCUGCCUAGUAAGCAGAAGGUCGUCAGUUCGAUUCUGGCAGCAGGCA
RNAcentral lists this transfer RNA (73 nucleotides) under Coemansia sp. RSA 451. Its description in RNAcentral is "tRNA-Thr". It matches the Rfam family "tRNA". Rfam says of the family: Transfer RNA (tRNA) molecules are approximately 80 nucleotides in length. RNAcentral also lists the same sequence under 31 other names. Lineage: Eukaryota; Fungi; Kickxellomycota; Kickxellomycetes; Kickxellales; Kickxellaceae. The record is from RNAcentral.